Molecule: long non-coding RNA, 3027 nt
Filed under: Bemisia tabaci
Lineage: Eukaryota; Metazoa; Arthropoda; Insecta; Hemiptera; Aleyrodidae
Description: lncRNA ENSSSA1UGG013247
Source: RNAcentral
UGGUCAAAAACAUAUGCAAAAAUACUCAGGAUAUUUAUCCGAUUUGAUUCAGUGUAAAGAAAGUGUGAAUCAUAAUUUAAAAGGGUGAAGGUCGAAGGUACCUACUAGGAGAAAGAUAAUUUUGGAACUGAUAAGCUUCAGUUGGUGUUGAUAAUACCCAUAUUACCUCAUUAAUGGGCGAUUGAUAUCCUAAGGGCGCCUGUGGGUAUCUAUUUUGAUUACUGAAAGUUAUGAAUUAUCUUUACUUAUUUCUGAUAUUUGUCAAAAGAGCAGCCACCUGGAUGGAUAACAACUUGAAUGAUGCAAGAAUUUACAAAGUGAGUAUCAUGCUUUUAAUAGGUUGAAAUUUCAUUGAUACAGUGCAAAAUAUCGUAUUAAAUAUAAUAAGCAAGUGCAAAUCUGUGCGGUUAAUACUUUUUGUGUAGGAACAUUUCUGAGAGAGAGAAAAUAUUAAAUUUAGCAUCUACUAACUCAAUGAUGAUUGUAGUUAAGCACUUUAAUCAGUCAAGGUGUAAGUACAUGAGCUUGGCAUUACGGUUAGGAAAAUAAAAUUAUCUUUCAAAUUAGCCAUGUAUUCUUACUCAGAGGCAAAAAAUGAAAAAACGUAAUUUCAGAAGAGGCAAGACGCAACUACACAGCUGAGCUGAUAAGGAGGGGAUCAUGGCAAACUUCAUUCAAUUUGGAGAGGGACUCCGCAGAAUCAUGGAGCGGUGUAACCAUAUUUUAUUCAAUUUUUAAUCACAAGAUAGUGGGGGCAGGCAGUAAUAGUAAAUAUUUUUCAACUUAUCGGUUGACUUCUUUGCAUGAAGCAAACUCUCAGCUAUCUUUUAUCAGGAAUGUUGAAACCUGGCUCAUGAUAACACACUCGAAGGUUGAACGAGGUGAGCAGUGAACUUCUGUAAAACUCUCAAGUGCAUUGUUCCUUCAAACAUGUUGCGGAUUGGAUUUAUUGGAGGUGGGAAAAUGGCCCAGGCCAUGGCCAAAGGAUUCGUAUCAGCAGGACUGACCAAAAAUGAAAUAUUCUGGCAAGUUGAUUUCCACAAGACCACAGUGACCUUUAAAGGGGGCCUAAAGGUAACUGCAAAAACUAGAAACCUUAAUUUGACAAAAAUAUCUUACUUACCUUCAUGUACAGGGUGCAAUUUAAAAAAAGUGCAUAGAAGAAAAAAAUUGAUAUGAUGCUGACCUUAGCAACUUAUUUCUCCGAUGGAAUAAAAAUUUUACCAGAAAUUUUGGGUAAAAAUGAAAAGUGAGAAGUAUAUUAAGUACCACUUUGACCUAAAUGGUACAGCAAAGCAAACUCAUAUAGAUGAUUGAUAUGGGUCGUUCCUACAAUGCAAUCAGGUAUUUGAUAAAGUAGGAAAAAAUUUUUUUUCAUUUCACUAGGAAAAUUGAUAGGCUUGGUACCUAGCAAUGACAAAAAAGUCCGAUGAGAAAUUCCUUUUUCUGUAAAACAUUUAGAAAGAGGGACGAGUAAAUUAUGUAAAAUUUUAACUAAGUAUGGUUCAGUUCAGAACAAAAAAAAAGUUGGGUCAAAGUUAUUGGAUUUUAAAACCGUUCCUGACUUAGGUACUCUAGCUGAUUGUUUUAAAUUUAUUUCUUUUGCAUUAGGAGCUGGGUAUACCAACCACAUUCGACAACAAAGAUGUGGUCAAGCAGUCGGAAAUUAUUUUUCUUGCCACAAAACCGCUGGUGAUUCCAACGGUUUUACAGGAUGUUAAAUCAGUGGUGACACAAAAAAUUUGUUCCGUUUUUGCCAGGGCGUAACUUAAAAACUCUUGAGCAGGAAAGUGCUUUAUCCAUUAUUACGCAAAACACUAUAUUUAAGUAGCAAUCUUUCUUAAAAGAAAAUGCAAAAUGGGAAAAAUAUCCAUCGACAGGAAGUUUGACGUAGUCGAUUGGAAUAGGUAUCAUAAGAAGCAGAAAAAAACAUUAGAUAGGUGUCAACUUACACUAACUUUGUGGAAUAAAUAAUACUAAUGUGACUGACCAAAAACUAGACCGAUUAUCAGAGUCAUGCCAACACACCAGCCUGUGAGGGAAGGAUCUGUAUUCGGCAGGGUCGUCGUCAGGAUGACGAUGCAGAAUAGCAAAAAAUGAUGCUGCCAUCGUCAUGUGAGGAGGUCAAGGAGUAUGACUUGAUCCAGUGACAGCAUUAAGUGGAUCUGGUCCAGCAUAUGUAAGAUUCAACAUUAAGCUUCAAGUCACAAAAAUUGUCAGAGACCAACCUCCAUCAGGAAGAUAAGAUUAUCCAUAUUCCAAGUGCUUUUCUGACUUCUUCUAAAAAUAAGAAAAGAAUAAGAUAUCCAAUUAUUCUACUAUCAGUCAACUUCUUUCGAUUUGAUAAUUUAAUAAAUUUACGUUUGUUCUCCGUUAUAUCAAAAUGAUUUUUGUAACAGCCGAAUGUAAAGAAAAACAAACGGUCUUGUGAACGACAAUACACACAAUUUGCUCUCACUUCCUCUCCGUCUCUAAAGUUGCUUAUGAUCCAACAACACAGUUGGAUCAUUAUUGCAGUGGCACAAAAAUUUGGAAAUGAUUUUCCCUGACUUUUCCAGGUUUUCCCUGACGAAAAAUGGAGAAAUUCCCUGACUUUUGAGAACGCGCGCCAUGAUCGCACAGCCAAAUUUACACCUUGCUAGCUACCAUCGCACUAAUAGAGCGUCUCGUUUGAAACGCGUUUCAGCUAAGGAGUCAGAAAUUAAUGUAGAACAUUUGGAAAUACAAAAGGGUUGUUAACUUUUUCUUUUAAUUUGAUGCUUUAAGCAACUCGUGAAAAUUGUCAAAUUUUUCCCUGACUUUAGCUGUUUUUGGUCAAAUUCCCUGACUUUUCCAGGUUUCCAGAGCACUUUUUUUUCCCCUGACUUUUCAGGUUUUCCCUGAAUUCCCUGACUGUGGCAACCCUGUUAUUGGGAUUUACUCUUGGAAUGGUAAUUAAUAUAGUUAGUCAAUAUUUGUGAACACUUCGUAAGAGCGACUUUCCUCGAGUGGAGUAGCAUAAUGACCUUCAUGGUUGAUUUUAAUGGA